Molecule: long non-coding RNA, 985 nt
Organism: Dermochelys coriacea (leatherback sea turtle)
Lineage: Eukaryota; Metazoa; Chordata; Testudines; Dermochelyidae
Exons: 3
Source: RefSeq, a predicted model, not a curated record
UCCUCUUCUGAUCCCAGCUUUGCUCCGUGCUUCACAUCAGAACCCAAAUCCACUAUCACUUUGACUUCCCCUCCUUGAUUACUUCCAUGGCCCUUACUACUGGAUCAUCUUCCACCAGGAACACCAGCUUAUAAAUGAUGAGGCAAAAUAAAUGCCUGAUCCUGACAACUGCUGAGCUCCCUAGACUCCAGUACAGAUGCUCUGCACUUACAAGAUCUGGCCUUGAGGAAUUGAGGUCUGUUGAUAUAAUACUGCCUGAUUAUAUAACUUUCAAUAUAUUUAAUUUUUUUGCUACAAUAGCAACAGCCUACCCCAAGGUGACCUAAGAACCUAUUAUUUGUUCAGCAUCCUGCACCUAUUGUUCAGGGCUAUCUUCACCAAUGGUGCCAUAUAGAUAACAAUACUUACUCAUUUAUUUUACUUGAAAUGCUUACAUUUGAGUCCUCUCUGCACAGGAACUGCCCAGAGUGACAAUCAUCAAGAACUGAACAUAUUCACCAUUAAUGAAUGGAGUGAAAAUCAAGUCACAUCAGAGAUUAAAGAUAAUGUCUAUAAAAUGGAAGAAAAAAAACACCCUGAAAACCAACAACAAAUGAAAACACAUCCAAGUACUAUGCUCUAGUCAUAUAGAUCAGUGGUUCUCAAUUUUUUUUCGCUGACCACUUGAAAAUUGCUGAGGGUCUUGGUGGACCACUUAAAGAUCUUUCCAAAUGUUGUUUGUACCGUUAGCUAACUAUUGUAAGGUGCUUUGGAUAAAAGCACUAUAUAAAAAAAACCUUAAUAAUAAUAAUAAAGUUUUUUUUCUACAAAUAAAAGCAGCCAACUCACAUUUUAAUAUCUGUUGUCUUAUCUUUCUAAUGUGAUAGAUGUGCCCUCUCUCCCCUGCCACGGUAGCCCCCAAGCUGGGGCUGGGAUGGAGGGGGUCUGUCCCUCUCUCCCCCACCGCGGCAGCCCCUGAGCUGGGGCUGGGAAGGAGGUGGGGUCU